This 465-nucleotide ribosomal RNA is filed under the name uncultured bacterium. Its description in RNAcentral is "partial 16S ribosomal RNA". It matches the Rfam family "Bacterial small subunit ribosomal RNA", at positions 28 to 507 of the family's 1533-position model. The record is from RNAcentral.
GACGAACGCUGGCGGCGUGCUUAACACAUGCAAGUCGAACGGAAAGGCCCUGCUUGCAGGGUACUCGAGUGGCGAACGGGUGAGUAACACGUGGGUGAUCUGCCCUGCACUUCGGGAUAAGCCUGGGAAACUGGGUCUAAUACCGGAUAGGAGCCAUUUUUAGUGUGAUGGUUGGAAAGUUUUUUCGGUGUAGGAUGAGCUCGCGGCCCAUCAGCUUGUUGGUGGGGUAAUGGCCUACCAAGGCGGCGACGGGUAGCCGGCCUGAGAGGGUGGACGGCCACAUUGGGACUGAGAUACGGCCCAGACUCCUACGGGAGGCAGCAGUGGGGAAUAUUGCACAAUGGGCGCAAGCCUGAUGCAGCGACGCCGCGUGGGGGAGGACGGCCUUCGGGUUGUAAACUCCUUCCGCUAGGGACGAAGCUUUUUGUGACGGUACCUAGAUAAGAAGCACCGGCUAACUACGUG